This 71-nucleotide transfer RNA is filed under the name Candidatus Wolfebacteria bacterium. Its description in RNAcentral is "tRNA-Trp". It matches the Rfam family "tRNA". From Rfam's summary of the family: Transfer RNA (tRNA) molecules are approximately 80 nucleotides in length. The record is from RNAcentral. Lineage: Bacteria; Candidatus Wolfeibacteriota.
GGGUCUAUAGUUUAAUGGUAAAAUUUCGGUCUCCAAAACCGACGUUCCAGGUUCGAGUCCUGGUGGACCCG